UAACUGAGAGAGAAUAAUUGAUGUAUUUAUGUUCUAUUACCUCUCUCUGAGUUGGAAUUAUUGUCCUGUAUGUGUUUGUAUUGCUGUUGUAUUUGAUUAGCAAAGCUUUUGUAUAUCAGGUAAUGUAUAUAUAAUUGUAUUACCUCUCUGUGUGAGAACUUUCUACUGUAUGUCCUGACGUUACAUAAUGUAAGGAACUCCUUUCAGAUUAUCACCAGAACCAGAUAUUCAGACGGGCGCCUUCUUGACCUGGUACAGCGAGAGGUCACACAAGAAUAGCAGAUAAAGAUUGUGCCAGACUCCCGUCAAAUAUGGAACAAAAUUUCACAGGAAAACUACUUCAAAUUUUAAAAGAAAACCAGAACAAGAAGAUGAUAUGGCCAAGACAAAAGUAUCAGGAGGUUGUUUGUGUAUUAAAAGGACUCCAGAAGAAGACAUCUAUGAGAGACUACUACUACCACAAAAGGUUUGAGGUGCUCAGAUGGGGUGAGAUUGAAGUACUUAUAAAGAAACGGAAGAGUGAGGAUGAACCUAUCAUCUUCUUUGUUUGUGCCGAAGAUGUUUUCAAGGUUGUCCAGCAAGCUCAUAUUAUUACAGGACAUGGGGGAAGAGACAAAAUGUUAAAAGAGAUAAACAAGAAAUAUGCAAACAUUACCAAGGAAGUCGUUACUCUUUUCAAAGAGUUUUGCGAAGAAUGCCAUUUCAAGAUCCAUUAUGGCACUAAUAACUAAAAAUAAAACAAAGGUCUACUAACUGUCCAUGGAGGCGAGGUCCUUAUAUGUAUCUAUACUUAAGCUGAAAAGUAACUCCUUCUUGUCCCUCAAUGAAACAAAUUAAAAAAUAUAAAAUACAAAUAAUAAUAAUCAUCCAGUAAAGCUAUGGUAUUAGUCUUUUAGUUCAGGUCAGUGAUAUUCAGAUUGUAAUUUUACAUUGGACAUUAAGACAAGUUGCUCUACUAAAUAUUGUCUUUGUCAACAGUCAGAGCAACUAUGUAAUAGUUAAUGCUACCCAAACUUGAUUUAACUUUUUUUAGAUUGAUCUGAUUUUCUUAAAAUUUACCUUUGUUACCUUAUAACUUGUUAUUCCACGGUGCUAUUAUUUUUUUAUUUGUUUCUAAUAUUCCAUUAAAAAAAUAAGCAAAAUUAAUUCUGAAAUUAAAUUUAAUGUUUUUUUUUUCAAAACUAAAUUUUUUUUAACAAAUAGAUCAUAUUCAAUGCGUACUUCAAUUUAUAUUUUGUAAAAUGCCUGAAAGGCCAGACUUUUAUAAAAUGUCCAAAGUCUUCAGGAAUAUGAUAAAAUACCUGAUUUUACAAAUACCUGUAACAUAUACACUACACUACAGCUGAUGUUCAGUGUCAACUUAAACAUUACUAUUUAUGAAAAAUAUAAUGGAUAUAAAUUCCCGAUGAUAAGCUUUAAAAAGAGAUUUGCCUCAGAAUGAUCUUAGUUUUAUACGUACAGUACUAUACAUAUUACUACAAGAUACACUAGUUUAUUUAUGUCUCACUUCUUCUGGGAAUAAGAGUUUAAAAAAUGAGUAAACCAUAGUUUAUUCAGUCUUCACAUUAAUAUUCCAAUAAAUUAUAUGUUGUCACCUCCGUCUUUCUUCUUUCAGCUGUAAAAUACUGGACAAAAUGCCUAACUACACUGAAACCAGCGAUAGUGUCAAACAAUUCAAAAUUAGAGCUAAAAAGUAGACAGCUAAUGAAUUUACAGCAAGAGAAGAGAGUGAUUUUGAAUAUUACUAAUCACUGUAUAUUGAAUGGUGGAAGUGAUCCAUCAUUCUCAGAUAGUCUAAAUGCAGUGUGAUACUUGUUAUAUUAUUGAUCGGUAUCCGCCUGAGCAGCGAACCCUAUACUGUAGAUAAGCUUCUGAUGGCUUUGUUGUCUAUCCAUGGUCGAAUCGACGGCACUGUCUAGGUACAGUCACCCAAAAAAGUCCUGUCGCGAACCAUGAACCCCGAGAUUCAGACUCUUGAAUCCGAAGCAUUUUGGACAGAAUAACAGUGUCUACUGCUCCGGGUUCACGAGUCAGAAUCGUGGUUCGGGACAGGACUUUUUUGGGUGACUGUACAUUGUCUGCAUGCCUUCACUGUCUAUGAAUAUUGUAUACCUCUCAUUGUUUAUGUACAGUCACCCAAAAAAGUCCUGUCGCGAACCACGAUUCAGACUCGUGAACCCGAAGCAGUAAACACUGAUACAUUAUUCUGUCCAUAAAUGCUUCGGAUUCAAGAGUCUGAAUCUCGGGGUUCAUGGUUCGCGACAGGACUUUUUUGGGUGACUGUACAGUCCCCUUCACUAGUGCUUUUAUAGGGGCUUGUCAGGUUUUGUGCGGUGUGGCAGCCCUGUGUUUGUUUACAUUCAACAGAAGGAAACUCGCAAUAGUAAAAAUACUAUAGAAUCAAAUAAAAACGAUUUUAAAACAAAUAUCUCAAAGAUAAAAAUUUGUGGAAUGUUUAUAUGAGGAGCCCCUGUAAACGCACGAGAGAAGGGGACUGUGCAGGCUGAACCAAUGUAAGCUUGUAUGACUAUUUUACUGCAUAAAUCUCUACCUAUGUAUGUAUGUAUGUAUAAUCUUAGCGUGGCAACAUGAUUCAUUUAUGUAUUUAUGGCGUUGACUCCAAUAUUGUAAAUAUCUCAUUGACGUAUGGAUAAAACUUCCCUUUCUGA
Long non-coding RNA from Homarus americanus (American lobster), 2669 nucleotides. RefSeq lists it as uncharacterized. The record is from RefSeq and is a predicted model, not a curated record. Lineage: Eukaryota; Metazoa; Arthropoda; Malacostraca; Decapoda; Nephropidae. The transcript has 3 exons.